GAUGAACGCUGGCGGCGUGCCUAAUACAUGCAAGUCGAGCGAACAGACGAGGAGCUUGCUCCUCUGACGUUAGCGGCGGACGGGUGAGUAACACGUGGAUAACCUACCUAUAAGACUGGGAUAACUUCGGGAAACCGGAGCUAAUACCGGAUAAUAUAUUGAACCGCAUGGUUCAAUAGUGAAAGACGGUUUUGCUGUCACUUAUAGAUGGAUCCGCGCCGCAUUAGCUAGUUGGUAAGGUAACGGCUUACCAAGGCAACGAUGCGUAGCCGACCUGAGAGGGGGGGUGGGCAACAGUGAAACUGAGACCGGGCCCAGACACCUGCGGGGGGCGGAAGUGGGGAUUCUCCAGAAUGGGGCGAAGGCCGGAGGGACAACGGCGGGGGGGGUAAUGAAGGUUUUCGUAUGUAAAACCUGUUUUAUGGGGAAAAAAAAAAGGGGAAAUAAACUAGGCAGUUCUUGACGGUCCCAAAUAAAAAAGCCCCGGCUAACUCCGUG
This 498-nucleotide ribosomal RNA is filed under the name uncultured bacterium. RNAcentral describes it as "partial 16S ribosomal RNA". It matches the Rfam family "Bacterial small subunit ribosomal RNA", at positions 28 to 507 of the family's 1533-position model. The record is from RNAcentral.